This is a non-coding RNA of Cinara cedri, 406 nucleotides long. NCBI's taxonomy places the organism in Eukaryota, Metazoa, Arthropoda, Insecta, Hemiptera, Aphididae. The record is from the annotation of a GenBank genome assembly.
CAUUCCAAUCAUAUUUUUUUAAUGUAUCCGAUAUAAGACCGUGCGCCCACCCAGGGAAUUGUGUUUCGAAUAUACUGCCCACCGCGAAUCGACCCGCGCAGUUUCCGGUCGUUAACCACCAGCGUAUAAAAUAUAUGGGCGUCGUCGGUCGUAAUGAUAUUAGCACUUCGAACCGGAUACCGAACGAUUGUCGACGACCGGGACGUGAUAAAUACUCGGUAAACGUCUUUGUGCGUUCUCAGGCCACGUCAUAGAUUUAUUGUAUACCCGCAGAGGGAUAGUUCCACUCAUAUAUAUAUAUAUACAGUUUGCAUGUACAGGAUUUGACAACGUCCUCCUAUACCAGUGGUUUUCAAACAUUUUUUAUACACGGUAGACACUGUGCUCUUCGCAACAUGUUCAAUAA